This 653-nucleotide ribosomal RNA is filed under the name uncultured bacterium. RNAcentral describes it as "bacterial SSU rRNA". It matches the Rfam family "Bacterial small subunit ribosomal RNA", at positions 28 to 727 of the family's 1533-position model. The record is from RNAcentral.
AACGAACGCUGGCGGCAGGCUUAACACAUGCAAGUCGAGCGAGGACUUCGGUCCUAGCGGCGGACGGGUGAGUAACGCGUGGGAACGUGCCCUUCUCUACGGAAUAGUCCCGGGAAACUGGGUUUAAUACCGUAUACGCCCUUCGGGGGAAAGAUUUAUCGGAGAAGGAUCGGCCCGCGUUGGAUUAGGUAGUUGGUGGGGUAAUGGCCUACCAAGCCGACGAUCCAUAGCUGGUUUGAGAGGAUGAUCAGCCACACUGGGACUGAGACACGGCCCAGACUCCUACGGGAGGCAGCAGUGGGGAAUCUUAGACAAUGGGGGAAACCCUGAUCUAGCCAUGCCGCGUGAGUGACGAAGGCCUUAGGGUCGUAAAGCUCUUUCGCUGGGGAAGAUAAUGACGGUACCCAGUAAAGAAUCCCCGGCUAACUCCGUGCCAGCAGCCGCGGUAAUACGGAGGGGGUUAGCGUUGUUCGGAAUUACUGGGCGUAAAGCGCACGUAGGCGGGCUGUUAAGUCGGGGGUGAAAUCCCGGGGCUCAACCCCGGAACUGCCUUCGAUACUGGCAGCCUUGAGUUCGAGAGAGGUGAGUGGAAUUCCGAGUGUAGAGGUGAAAUUCGUAGAUAUUCGGAGGAACACCAGUGGCGAAGGCGGCUC